AUUGUUUUCAAUAAUAGCAAAUCAGUAAAACCAGUGUGUGUACAUGUAAUUAAUGACAAACACUAUAAUGGAGACAAGAAUAGCUCACCUCUUUAUGUUUUUCCACUUCUCUCAUUUCUUGGUUAGUUCUUGAACAUUUGCAUCAGGUUCCUGCUUUUCAGAUUCUUGAGAUAUUUCACCUCCUACUGUUUUUGUUGCCUGUUCUUGCUCAGAUUGAGUUGGCAGAUUUGGCACUUCUGCUUGUUGAGUUACUGUAUCUGUGGAUUCUGUCAAUUCAGUGCUCUCUUUUCCAAGAACAUUUUAUUCAAGUUUUUCUUUUUCUACAAUCUCUGCCUCAGGAAUUUCCAGUUUCUUCUGCUGCUUUUCAAAUAAGAAAGCUCCUCUCUCAGUGUUUCUCUGGCUGAUCAAUCCUUCUCUAGUUUAAUUUCCUCAGGUUCCUUUGUUGUAUUUUCUGGAUGUGUAGCUGUUAUAGCUGGAGGCUUUUCCUUCUCAGGAGGGGCUUCUUCUGAUUUUCUUUGUGCCUUAAUUUCUAGUAGAGUGCUCUAUUUCCCAGGAAGUUGAUUUGAUAAUACAAAUCAAAUAA
Molecule: unclassified non-coding RNA, 583 nt
Filed under: Hevea brasiliensis (rubber tree)
Lineage: Eukaryota; Viridiplantae; Streptophyta; Magnoliopsida; Malpighiales; Euphorbiaceae
Source: RNAcentral